UACGUAGGGUGCGAGCGUUAAUCGGAAUUAUUGGGCGUAAAGCGCGCGUAGGCGGUUACUUAAGUCGGAUGUGAAAGCCCUCGGCUUAACUGAGGAAGUGCACCCGAAACUGAGUAGCUAGAGUACGAAAGAGGGUCGCGGAAUUCCCGGUGUAGAGGUGAAAUUCGUAGAUAUCGGGAGGAACACCAAUGGCGAAGGCAGCUUGCUGGGACGGUACUGACGCUGAGACGCGAAAGCGUGGGGAGCAAACAGG
This 253-nucleotide ribosomal RNA is filed under the name uncultured bacterium. Its description in RNAcentral is "partial 16S ribosomal RNA". It matches the Rfam family "Bacterial small subunit ribosomal RNA", at positions 524 to 776 of the family's 1533-position model. The record is from RNAcentral.